This 213-nucleotide long non-coding RNA is filed under the name Vicia faba (fava bean). Lineage: Eukaryota; Viridiplantae; Streptophyta; Magnoliopsida; Fabales; Fabaceae. The record is from RNAcentral.
AUGAGGAUCAAAACAUGCACAUCCCUUUCUUGCAUGGUAGAGAUAUGGAUUGGGGAGCUAGCCAAGCUCAAAGAAAGAGUUGUGACCAACAAGACUAAAUCUAAAGAAGGUUUAGAAGAAGAGAAAGAAGUGAAAAGGGAAACUCAAAGGGAUACUACCACAAUAUCUGAGUCAACAAUAUGUUUGCUUAUGGAUAGAUUUGCACCAUGCUAA